RNAcentral lists this ribosomal RNA (344 nucleotides) under uncultured bacterium. RNAcentral's name for it is "bacterial SSU rRNA". It matches the Rfam family "Bacterial small subunit ribosomal RNA", at positions 133 to 507 of the family's 1533-position model. The record is from RNAcentral.
AAAGUGAGGAAUAAGCCACCGAAAGGUGGUCUAAUACUUCAUAAUAUCCAUCUCGUAUGGAUUAAAGCUUUAUGCGCUUUGGGAGGGCCUGCGUAACAUUAGCUUGUUGGUGAGGUAAAAGCUCACCAAGGCUUCGAUGUUUAACUGGUUUGAGAGGAUGACCAGUCACACUGGACUGAGAUACGGCCCAGACUCCUACGGGAGGCAGCAGUAAGGAAUCUUCCACAAUGGGGCAACCCUGAUGGAGCAAUACCGCGUGCAGGAUGAAGCGUUUCGGCGUGUAAACUGCUUUAUCACCGAAGAUUAUGACUGUAGGUGAAGAAUAAGGACCGGCUAACUACGUG